Molecule: ribosomal RNA, 815 nt
Filed under: uncultured bacterium
Lineage: Bacteria
Description: bacterial SSU rRNA
Rfam family: Bacterial small subunit ribosomal RNA
Source: RNAcentral
GCAAGUCGAGCGCGCCCUUCGGGGUGAGCGGCGGACGGGUGAGUAACGCGUGGGAACGUGCCCUUUGCUGCGGAAUAGCCACUGGAAACGGUGAGUAAUACCGCAUGAGCCCUUCGGGGGAAAGAUUUAUCGGCAAAGGAUCGGCCCGCGUUGGAUUAGGUAGUUGGUGGGGUAAUGGCCUACCAAGCCGACGAUCCAUAGCUGGUUUUAGAGGAUGAUCAGCCACACUGGGACUGAGACACGGCCCAGACUCCUACGGGAGGCAGCAGUGGGGAAUCUUAGACAAUGGGCGCAAGCCGGAUCUAGCCAUGCCGCGUGAGUGACGAAGGCCCUAGGGUCGUAAAGCUCUUUCCCCUGUGAUGAUAAUGACAGUAGCAGGUAAAGAAACCCCGGCUAACUCCGUGCCAGCAGCCGCGGUAAUACGGAGGGGGUUAGCGUUGUUCGGAAUUACUGGGCGUAAAGCGCGCGUAGGCGGAUUGGAAAGUUGGGGGGUGAAAUCCCGGGGCUCAACCCCGGAACUGCCUUCAAAACUUCCAGUCUGGAGUUCGAGAGAGGUGAGUGGAAUUCCGAGUGUAGAGGUGAAAUUCGUAGAUAUUCGGAGGAACACCAGUGGCGAAGGCGGCUCACUGGCUCGAUACUGACGCUGAGGUGCGAAAGUGUGGGGAGCAAACAGGAUUAGAUACCCUGGUAGUCCACACCGUAAACGAUGAAUGCUAGUCGUCGGCAAGCAUGCUUGUCGGUGACACACCUAACGGAUUAAGCAUUCCGCCUGGGGAGUACGGCCGCAAGGUUACAACUCAAAUGAAUUGACGGAA